RNAcentral lists this long non-coding RNA (233 nucleotides) under Manihot esculenta (cassava). RNAcentral describes it as "long non-coding RNA (MESC_LNC009887)". The record is from RNAcentral. Lineage: Eukaryota; Viridiplantae; Streptophyta; Magnoliopsida; Malpighiales; Euphorbiaceae.
CCCAUUCUACGCCCCUGGCACGAUUGGACUAUGUUGAGGACUAUAGGUGACAAUACCAUCCUUAUGUGAUAUGUUUGUGAUGUGUUGCAUUUCAUGGAAGCAUGAAAUAUUUUAAUAUAUGUUUUCUCUAUUCUGCUCACUGGGCUUUAUAGCUCACCCCUCUCCCCUAACCCCAGAUGUGCAGGUACAGGGUAGAUCAGGAGGUUAGCCAGAGUAUGGAAGCUAUGUUUAUG